UACGUAGGGACCAAGCGUUGUUCGGAUUUACUGGGCGUAAAGGGCGCGUAGGCGGUGCGGUAAGUCACUUGUGAAAUCUCUGAGCUUAACUCAGAACGGCCAAGUGAUACUGCAGUGCUAGAGUGCGGAAGGGGCAAUCGGAAUUCUUGGUGUAGCGGUGAAAUGCGUAGAUAUCAAGAGGAACACCUGAGGUGAAGACGGGUUGCUGGGCCGACACUGACGCUGGAGCGCGAAAGCCAGGGGAGCAAACGGG
This 253-nucleotide ribosomal RNA is filed under the name uncultured bacterium. RNAcentral describes it as "partial 16S ribosomal RNA". It matches the Rfam family "Bacterial small subunit ribosomal RNA", at positions 524 to 776 of the family's 1533-position model. The record is from RNAcentral.